RNAcentral lists this ribosomal RNA (496 nucleotides) under uncultured bacterium. Its description in RNAcentral is "partial 16S ribosomal RNA". It matches the Rfam family "Bacterial small subunit ribosomal RNA", at positions 29 to 507 of the family's 1533-position model. The record is from RNAcentral.
ACGAACGCUGGCGGCGUGCCUAAUACAUGCAAGUAGAGCGCUGAAGAGAGGAGCUUGCUCUUCUUGGAUGAGUUGCGAACGGGUGAGUAACGCGUAGGUAACCUGCCUUGUAGCGGGGGAUAACUAUUGGAAACGAUAGCUAAUACCGCAUAACAAUGGAUGACACAUGUCAUUUAUUUGAAAGGGGCAAUUGCUCCACUACAAGAUGGACCUGCGUUGUAUUAGCUAGUAGGUGAGGUAACGGCUCACCUAGGCGACGAUACAUAGCCGACCUGAGAGGGUGAUCGGCCACACUGGGACUGAGACACGGCCCAGACUCCUACGGGAGGCAGCAGUAGGGAAUCUUCGGCAAUGGGGGCAACCCUGACCGAGCAACGCCGCGUGAGUGAAGAAGGUUUUCGGAUCGUAAAGCUCUGUUGUAAGUCAAGAACGAGUGUGAGAGUGGAAAGUUUACACUGUGACGGUAGCUUAACAGAAAGGGACGGCUAACUACGUG